RNAcentral lists this long non-coding RNA (630 nucleotides) under Daucus carota (carrot). RNAcentral's name for it is "long non-coding RNA (DCAR_LNC006195)". The record is from RNAcentral. Lineage: Eukaryota; Viridiplantae; Streptophyta; Magnoliopsida; Apiales; Apiaceae.
AUAUAUAGCAACCCUUCUUUGCUUAAGAUACCAAACAAUAUUGUGUGUACUGACCAACUCAGUUUUCAAACAACCUGUCGAACUGAACCCCGAAGAGUCACCACUUGAAACCAAUGGAUUCCAUCUGAAUCUGACAUGACUAAACCUCUCAGAUAGUGUUAUGCUAAUCCUUGAAGUUAUGUCCUCACAUUCUUCAAAAGUGUUAACUUUCGUCGACUUGAGCUUCCUCAAAUUCAGCAGUUAUAAACUCUUAUGUUCAAUCCUAAGGUUCUGACAUUAAUGCACGAAACUGAUUUGGUGUGGUAGUAACUUGAUAUAUAUCCAUAAACCUCCACAGUUCUCUGUCUUUGGUUCAGUUGAUUCUGGAUGGAUUUAGCAUCAGUACAAUUCACUGAGUAAUUGUAUAUCCCUGAAUCACUGAGUUAGAUUGAAAUCCCUUGAAGAUUCGUCCGUAAAAACUUCUCUUUUCCUACUACUAGUGGUGCCAUUCAAAGUUGACAUUCCGAGCCCUGGAAAGAUGCUUCAUUGUAGAUGUAGCAAAUUCCCAUCCUGAUCUGGUGAUCUGAUAAUCAAGUCGGAGUAAUUACUCAGAUCAAGGCCUGAAGUACCUUCUUCAAAAUCCACUUUUAG